Molecule: ribosomal RNA, 503 nt
Filed under: uncultured bacterium
Lineage: Bacteria
Description: partial 16S ribosomal RNA
Rfam family: Bacterial small subunit ribosomal RNA
Source: RNAcentral
AUUGAACGCUGGCGGCAGGCUUAACACAUGCAAGUCGAGCGGAGUGAUGGUGCUUGCACUAUCACUUAGCGGCGGACGGGUGAGUAAUGCUUAGGAAUCUGCCUAUUAGUGGGGGACAACAUCUCGAAAGGGAUGCUAAUACCGCAUACGUCCUACGGGAGAAAGCAGGGGAUCACUUGUGACCUUGCGCUAAUAGAAGAGCCUAAGUCGGAUUAGCUAGUUGGUGGGGUAAAGGCCGACCAAGGCGACGAUCUGUAGCGGGUCUGAGAGGAUGAUCCGCCACACUGGGACUGAGACACGGCCCAGACUCCUACGGGAGGCAGCAGUGGGGAAUAUUGGACAAUGGGGGGAACCCUGAUCCAGCCAUGCCGCGUGUGUGAAGAAGGCCUUAUGGUUGUAAAGCACUUUAAGCGAGGAGGAGGCUCUUUUGGUUAAUACCCAAGAUGAGUGGACGUUACUCGCAGAAUAAGCACCGGCUAACUCUGUGCCAGCAGCCGCGGUAA